RNAcentral lists this transfer RNA (66 nucleotides) under Eulepethus nanhaiensis. RNAcentral's name for it is "tRNA-Leu". Lineage: Eukaryota; Metazoa; Annelida; Polychaeta; Phyllodocida; Eulepethidae. The record is from RNAcentral.
AAUAGGUUGGCAGAACACAUGCACCUGACUUAGGAUCAGCCCAUGGGUAGAUCAACCCACCUAUUA